AUUGAACGCUGGCGGCAGGCCUAACACAUGCAAGUCGAACGGUAACAGGAAGAAGCUUGCUUCUUUGCUGACGAGUGGCGGACGGGUGAGUAAUGUCUGGGAAACUGCCUGAUGGAGGGGGAUAACUACUGGAAACGGUAGCUAAUACCGCAUAACGUCGCAAGACCAAAGAGGGGGACCUUCGGGCCUCUUGCCAUCGGAUGUGCCCAGAUGGGAUUAGCUUGUUGGUGGGGUAACGGCUCACCAAGGCGACGAUCCCUAGCUGGUCUGAGAGGAUGACCAGCCACACUGGCACUGAGACACGGUCCAGACUCCUACGGGAGGCAGCAGUGGGGAAUAUUGCACAAUGGGCGCAAGCCUGAUGCAGCCAUGCCGCGUGUAUGAAGAAGGCCUUCGGGUUGUAAAGUACUUUCAGCGGGGAGGAAGGGAGUAAAGUUAAUACCUUUGCUCAUUGACGUUACCCGCAGAAGAAGCACCGGCUAACUCCGUG
Molecule: ribosomal RNA, 490 nt
Filed under: uncultured bacterium
Lineage: Bacteria
Description: partial 16S ribosomal RNA
Rfam family: Bacterial small subunit ribosomal RNA
Source: RNAcentral